Long non-coding RNA from Numida meleagris (helmeted guineafowl), 2833 nucleotides. RefSeq lists it as uncharacterized. The transcript is spliced from 4 exons. The record is from RefSeq and is a predicted model, not a curated record. NCBI's taxonomy places the organism in Eukaryota, Metazoa, Chordata, Aves, Galliformes, Numididae.
AGCGGGAGUGACGUACCUACGUUCUGACCGCUCUGCGCAGCUAAUCCGCCGAUCUCUAUCGUGAUUUGUCCUCCAGGCAGUAGCGCGCAUGCGUGCCGGAAAGCGGAAGUGACGUACCUACGUUCUGACCGCUCUGCGCCGCUAAUCCGCCGAUCUCUCUGGCGAUUAGUCCUCCGGGCAGCACAGCGCAUUCGCGCCGGAAAGCGGAAGUGGCGUCUCUGCGUUCUGACCGCUCUGCGCAGCUAAUCCGCCUAUCUUUAUUGUGAUUAGUCCUCCGGGCAGUAGCGCGCAUGCGUGCCGGAAAGCGGAAGUGGCGUCUCUGUGUUCUGACCGCUCUGCGCAGCUAAUCCGCCAAUCUCUAUCGUGAUUAGUCCUCCGGGCAGUAGCGAGCAUGCGCGCCGGAAAGCGGAAGUGGCGUCUCUGCGUUCUGACCGCUCUGCGCAGCUAAUCCGCCGAUCUUUAUUGUGAUUAGUUCUCCAGGCAGUAGCGCGCAUGCGUCCGUAAGUGUACAACUAUCACCCGUCCCUACGACCCAGUAAAGGGUGAGCGAGCAUUCAAUUCGUGGACUGCUGGCUCAGCGAUGUUCUCCCUCUUCCAAUCCAGGAUGGCCUUUGUCUAUUUCCACAGUUUUACGCCUGUGUCCGAACCGGAUGUUGACUGUCCCUGUGCGUGUUGCGGCACCCGAUUUGCUCGUCGUUGUACGUGACCAUCAGGUGCCUGCCCCAACACUGCGCACGCGCACUAGCUCAGUGGUGCUCACUGCUGCUGCCCAUUGAAGUGAAUUUGGUACUGUAUGUGCUGCUCAGAUCCUGCAGACAGCACAGCGCAUGUGCGCAGAAAUGCGGAAGUGGCGUAUCGGAGUUCAGACCACUCUGCGCAGUGAACAUGCCAAUCUUUAUCGUGAUUAGUUCUCCAGGCAGCAGUGCGUAUGUACUCAAGGACGUACAGAAGACAUGGAUUUCUCUGAAUUCCUUGCAGUGGAGGCAAACAGAGCAGCCACGGACCGUCAGCUCUGAGCAAUGCUCCCCCAUCUACUCUGCAAUAUCUCUUGUCUAUUUUUGUGUUUUUAUGCCUGAGCCCGCGCAGAGCACUAGCCGUUUUGUCUUGAGAAUGCUCAUGCGCACGCUGUGGCGUUUGAUUGGCUAAUCGCAGCAUGGGAUUGACAAGUGCCUGCCCCAACGCUGCGCAUGUGCACUACCACUGUGACACUCGCUGCUGCCGCCUAUUGAAGAGAAUUCACUACUGCAGGCGCUGCUCUGCACACGCGGAUGGCUUUGUUUUCUGUAGCUGCUCGAGAGCAGCGCUUGCAUCUAUCUUUCCCUGCUGCCAGUUCACAGCCCUGGGAAUGGACUGGUUUGGCUCACAGCUGCCCCUGCAUGCCUCAUGGCAUCCAAUUUGCUCACUGCUGCAAUGGACUGACAGGCAUCCCCCUGCCAUUUAAUAAGUGCUCUUUGCUGCGGGGGAUCUGGAGCUGCUCAGAGAUUCUUGUGGCAUGGUACUGAUGUGGAGCCAUCCCUGGGACCAGUGCGGAGUGGCCCCAGCACUGCAACUUCCCAGGUCCAGCUUGGAGCGUCUCUGUGGUCACCCCAAGUGGCACAUUGCCCAGCUUCCUAGGAGCUGCUUUUCCACCAUCUCCGGGUACCUUGCCACGUGCUGCAUGUAAGCAGCCACGCCCACAGGGCGCAGCCAUGUUGCUCUGCGUGUGCCUGCCUCAGAGACGCUGCCCUGCACGUGUGGAUAAUGCCUGCAGCACUGCCCUGCGACCAACGGAGGGCACCAGAGAGCUGCAGCGCUGCCGAGAAGGGGAAGAACCGCUCCGUGGCUCUGCAGGGGAACAGAAUAAAUCUUGAAACAGAGCAGGAAGCAGCAGGAAACCGCAUCGUGCUAGACUGAACGGGGAAAAAACCCCACCUGAUCACCUGCCGAUUCUUGCCUGGAUGUUGCUCAGCAAUGGAAAGACGCCAGUCCAGGCAGGUCCUGGAACUCAACUUCAGUGACUUCCCCCUCCCCAGGAGGCACACUCCGAGCUGGUGCCACGUGAUCCUGCUGCCACAGUGGAAGCUGAACCCUGAGACAGACCCCAGGGCACCAUGCUGCAGACCAGCUGCUUCUACUGCACCCUCAUCCACACACCACCUCAGCAGCUAGUUCUGCAGCUGUGGGACUCGAUGGCUCAAAGAAGGUCAGCCCUCGGAUGGCUUCAUGCUGGGACUGGCACAGGGUCGCACUGUUAUGGGUGCGGUAGAGCCCAUGGAUCGUACCAGCAGCUGCACUGGUGAGUUUUUCAGCGCUGCUGAGUACGCAGACUUCCCCGCCUGCCCUGACCAUGCCCCAAUCUCCAAACUCCUUUCCGUCAUCGUGUCUCACAGCCCCAGGCGUCUCGCUGCGGUGUUGCUGGUGGCAGCGGAGAACUGCGGUGCUCCUGGGUGGUGCAAGAGCUGCACGGAGAUCUGUGGCUCUUCAUGAAGUCAGCAAGAAACAGAAAGCUGCAUUUCCUGGAAUGCCCUGGGACUCUGCUUUCCUGACUGGCUGCUGGUUGUCAUAAUGGAUAAGGGCAACGUACACCUACCAGUGUUUACCUGUGACUCAGUGUGGCUCAACAUAGUGCUCCCAGAGCUUGUUAUGGUGCUUUAGGGUACCCUGAAGGCUGCCUGUGCUUUUCCUCCUGAGUUCUCUUUGGCUCUGUCCUUUGCCUGAGGUGUUCCCCUUGUUCUUGCCUUUGCCUUGGUUUUUCUCUUCCUGUUUUCUUUGCCUUGGCCUUUGAGUUCCCUGCUGUGUUCUCCUGGCCUUUGCCCUUGCCCUCGCCUGGGCCUUUCUUGCGGCAUUCUCCUUG